Long non-coding RNA from Nerophis ophidion (straightnose pipefish), 6033 nucleotides. RefSeq lists it as uncharacterized. The transcript has 3 exons. Lineage: Eukaryota; Metazoa; Chordata; Actinopteri; Syngnathiformes; Syngnathidae. The record is from RefSeq and is a predicted model, not a curated record.
AACCUUUAGUGAUUUGUAUUCUAUUUUAAUUUCAGCACAUGAAAAUAUUUCUACUUCUGACCAUCGAAGAGAAUGGAAAACCAUUUUCCAGAUCAGCCCUCAUACAUCCUCCUGAUGGCCUAACAACUGAAUGACAUGUCGAUGCUGAGUAUGAUCCAUUUCAAUCAUUUGAGGAAGCUCUCCCUGAUAUAGGGGAUUGGAUGUACAAUGACGGACAUACGUUUAAUGAAGGAUUUGAAGAUGGUUUGAGUGAGGAGUGUGCAGAAGAGUCCAAUUUCAAGGACACAACAGACAAACCAAUACAUGACAAUGCAUCAGAAACCAUGGCAGAGUGCCUUCUGAUCAGCAUGGGUUAUGUAAACUGUCCUAAAGUCACAGGUAAGGCCCUAAGCCAUAUGCUCAAAAUGUUCAAGUUGCUUUAUCCCGAUAGUCUGAACACAGACUGCUUAAACAGUGUGCAGAAGUUCCAAAACUUUUUUUUAUCCCACUCUGCAUCAUCGCCUACUAUAUUACAUAAAUCCUCCAAGAAUUGUUUUGGGCCAAUAGAAAGUAAACAAAUAAAAUGCCUGCUUUGUGGGACCAGUGUGUCAGAAGAAAGAUUCUCAUCCUUUUUUUAAAGUAUGUACAGAUUGAUUUCUUGUUUACCACAGCACAUUCAUGUGCCAAAUGGGCCCUCGUUGGUGAAUAUAAACAUGCAGGUUUUUCUUUGCUGCAAGAUAGUGUAACAUAUGAGACAUGCAGUCAUGUUAUUCCCCUAUUGGAAACCUCUGCAGUACAGUAGUAUUCUUGGAUGACAUAUUGGGUAAAGUUGUUUUCCUUGACUUCACAUCUAUGCCUGGCAUAGUGAUUGCAGUUCAUUUCCCCAACACACUUGAAAAGUUUGAAAUAAUGAAGAACUGAACUGGCCUAAGAAGCCACAAAUCAAAUCUUUAAUCAUUGUUAUAAAUGCUCUGAAAAUACACACUGAUGUGAUGUUGCCGUGGAUUCUGUAAAUAUGUACUGUAUAUGGAGUAUCAUUGUUGAUGAUGUUUUUGCAUUGUGUGUAAUAUUUCAGUGGCAAAUAUAUUACAUUUACUUGUUUAAUAAAGCCACUGUCUUUUUUAAUGAAUACAUAGGCCUACUAUGCUACUGCAUUUUAAUAUUAGUCCUUAUGAUGGUGGUUGGAGAGCCAAAUAUCUUCUGAAGUGGUACUUUGUUAAAAGAGUUUGAGAACCACUGCUCUAGAAAGUUCACAAAUGUUAAAAGCUCUUAAAAAGUGUCUUGUGAUCAUAUCAGUAUUGUUUGGGUUCAGUUUUAAAUCUCACAAUUGUAGUCACUGAGUUACUGUACAUGACGUGUGGAUAAGAAAUCAACAAAUUAAGUCCAACUUUAUUUAAAUAAACCAUUUAGAUUACAGACCAUAUAUCCAUAUUGUCUGAAUUCAUUAUUUUCUCCCAAUGUUGGCAUGAGAUCAACUGGAAUAUGAUUGAGGUAUAACUAAAUUGAGCCCAUUAAAAUGCAUUUUUUUAGAAAACGGGUAUAUCUAACAACUCAAAUAGUGAGCAGUGAGAGACAAAACCAAGUAUAUCUCUCACUGAGACAUCAUUGAGACAUAUUGAAACCAAUACUCAUCAAUUGUCUUUUUGCCGAAAUAGAAAAGAGACAUCUGAGAACUCAAACAGUGAGUAGUGAGAAACAAAACCAGGUGUUUCUCUCACUGAGUCAUAAUUGAGACAUAUUGGAGACCAGCUCAUUCAUCUCUCAUUUUGGUCUUAGUUGAAAUGGGGAAAAGAGAUAACUAUUAGACAACUAUGAGAUCUCUCAUAGUGCUCACUGUGAGCCUUAUUUCUCAGGAGAUACAUUUGAGAAGAAUGAGAAAACUACUUUGGUCUCCAUUAGUGCUCUUUUAUGUCUAGGAGAUAUAUAUAAGACAUACAUGAGAUCUCAUCUUCAAUUUUGCUUUGCUAUGGGAAACAAGAGUUUGAUGAGCAUUCCUCAACUUUUUCGGUCUUUUUUCUAAGCAUGUUGCAGGCAUCAAAUUCCAAAAUGAGCUAACAUUUGCAAAAAAAAAAGUUUCUCAGAUCCAACAUCAAAUAUCUUGUCUUUGCAGUCUAUUCAAUUGAAUAUAAGUUAAAAAGGAUUUACAAAUCAUUGUAUUCUGUUUUUAUUUACCAUUUACACAACGUGCUACUUCACUGGUUUGGGGUUUUGUACAUGUUGACAGUACAUUGCAGUGUUAUUUUGUUACAGCCGUGCCCACUGUGUGAAGUACUUUUGCAAGACUCCUAGCAAUAAUAUUACACUUCACCAAAGAGCCUGCUGUAAAAGAAAUGACCAUUGAAUGAAGAUACAUACUCAGGUCACCGUGAUCUGAAAAGGAGAGUGAAGAAUGUUUUUGUAUUCCCCAGAUUCUAAUCAUCUUGGAUGAAUAAACAAGCAAUUCCUAAUUUCACUUGGAAAUGGGUUUACUAUAAAAGUGUAGCACUGUUUCCACACAAAAUACCUUCUGUUUUUGGAAAGAUGCCCAUGUGUGUCUUCCAGGUUGAACAUUCCACCCUUUGUGCCUGCCCGGACUGUGCUGGAAGGCCUCGAGUCAGAGGAUGCGUGUGAAGACAAGAAAGCUGUAAAAAAGGAGAUCCAUAGCAAAAAGGAAGCCAAAAUGGAAGAGGAGAAUACAGACCUGCUCAGACUUUGCCACACAGUACCGCUGGAGGUGGUGAACUUAGGUGGGAAAGGUUACGAUCCAGAGAAGAAAGACUACUCAGGUUUUGAGGCCUGGUUGCAGUGUUACUAUGUGGAUGGAAUGAAGUCUGUACGCGACCACAAUGGCAGGACUAUGUGGUUCAAAGUAUGCAAACACAUUUUCAUACGUAACAACUAUAUUUGUAGCAUGUAUUGACUAAUAGAAAAUGGUGUCAUUUCAGGGCGAUCCAGGUCCUAUGGCUCCUAAAGGUAAACGCCAGAAAAAAUAGUUGAGAUACCAUUACACAUAAGAGAAAGCUUAGUGUGUCUUUAUCUUUUCUCACACACCAGAAUCAAAGUCUCCAAAGGCCAAAAAGAGAAAAGAUACAGAUGCAGACCAUGAUUACCCCCGCAAGAAAAAGGUAUAUUCAGUAGGUAAUCACCACCAGCACAUAGAAAUCUAACCCCAUUGUGGCUGUACUUCAGGUGUCCAGGAAACACAACUCUGACAGCACAGUGAAGAAAAAAGCAGCCAAAAAGCCCACAAAAGCAGCAAAGGAAGAAGAAAAUGGACCUCAAGAAGAAGCCACACCCAGAAGAAGAUCAGCAAACACACCUCAGCAAGAACCGAAAUCCACGUCAGGCAGGAGGAAAAAGAACAAUACAGAGCCAGCUGCAGGUCUGAUUCUAAUAAUACUCCCAUUUUCUGAAAAUAUUAAGAGCCUGAUCUUUGAGGAUCCAAUUCCCACACACUUAUCUGUGUGCGCAAACUAUAAAAUUGCAUGUACUGUUGGUGGACGUGUUGUAUGUGAUCUACUUUGUGCAAUUGAUAGCAGCAAAAGUGGCACAGAUCACCCUAUUUUUGUGUACUAGAAGCAUUAUGUGCCCUUGGAAACACUUCUUUCCCUCUACAUUCAUGUUAUUAUGCUCUCCACACUGGAGGGGGGCUUAUAUUAGAUUAUAGCACAUAUCGAUCAUCUAACACCUUUUCUGCAAUAUAGAAUCACAGUAUGUAUACUAUUUGCAGCAGGAAUGAUCAAACUGCAUAUUGCAAGACAUUUUUUUUAGGAGUUAUACUAAAUACAAAAAAAAAAAACGCAACGCUUUUGUUCUUGUUCCCAAUUUAAAUGAACUCAAAGAUCGAAAACUUUGACUAUAAACACAAAAUACCUGUUCCUCUCAAAUAUUGUUCACAAAUCUGUAUACAUUUGUUAGUGAGCAUUUUUUCUUUGCCAAGAUAAUCCAUCCCACCUGACAGGUGUGCCUUGAGCUGUCCAAAAUAAAAGGCCACUGUGAAAUGUGCAGUUUUAUCACACAACACAAUGCUUCAGAUGUCGCAAGUUUUGAGGGAGCGUGCAGUAGGCAUGCUGACUGCAGCAAUGUCCACCAGAGCUGUUGCCCGUCAAUUAAAUGUUUAUUUCUCCGCCAUAAGAAUAGAAUAGAAUAGAAAGUACUUUAUUGAUCCCUGGGGGAAAUUCAGCACCACAGUUCGCUCACAAUAAACAAUGAUAAUAAUAAAUAAUAUAAUAUAUAUGAAUAAUAUAAAUAUAUUCUACAUUUAAGUGCAGUCAAGGAACAUAUGCAUUAUACAGUCUGAUGGCUGUCGGUGUGAAGGACCUCCUGUGUCGUUCCGUGUUGCAUUUUGGGAGUCUGAGCCUUCCACUGAAUGUGCUCAUUCUCUCUGCAAGGUCCGAGUGUAGUGGGUGGGAGGUGUUGUCCAUAAUGGCUAGGAGUUUUGCUAGACUUCUCUCUGACACCACCGCCAGAGAGUCCAGCUCCACUCCCAUCUUGUUACUGGCCUUCUCUACCAACUUGUCCAGUCUGUAUGUGUCCCUCACUCUCAGCCCACUGCCCCAGCAGGCCACGGCGUACAAGAGGGCGCCUGCCACCAGCGACUCGUAGAACAUCUUCAACAUCUUUGUACAGACGUUGAAGGAUCCUAGCCUCCAAAGGAAAUAUAGAUUCGGCUCUGUCCCUUCUUGUAGAGGGCCUCAGCGUGUUUUGACCCAUUCAGCUUGUUGUCCAUGUGUACUCCGAGGUAUUUAUAAUCCUCUACCAUGUCCACAUCCACCCCCUUGAUGGAAAGAGGGGUCGCCAGAGUACUCCUCCUCCUUCCCAGGUCCACAACCAGCUCCUUGGUCUCCGUAACAUUGAGCUGGAGGUGGUUCUUUCCACACCAUGUGACAAAGUCCUCCACCAGUGUCCUGUAUUCCUCGUCAUCACCUUCCUCAAUACACCCCACUAUCGCAGAGUCAUCAGAAAACUUCUGAAGGUGGCAGGACUCUGACUGAUAGUGGAAAUGGGUGGUGUGAAUGGUGUAGAGGAAGGGGGAAGAGUACUGUAGCCUCCGGGGCCCCGGUGUUGCUGACCAGCCUGUCAGACACACAGUCCUGCAGUCGCAUAUACUGUGGUCUGUCAGUCAGGUAAUCUACAACCCAGGACACCAAGGGGGCCUCCACCUGCAUCUUCUCCAACUUCACACCCAGUAGCCCAGGCCGUUUAGUAUAAGCCGCCUCCAAAGGUGUUUCAGAGAAUUUGGCAAUACAUCCAACUGGCCUCACAGCCGCAGACCAUAUUGAUUGGCUGAGACCUGCCACCCGGACAGCUGCUACAACAAUUGGUUUGCUUAACCAUAGCAUUUCUGCACAAACUGUAAGAAACUACCAUGAAUUGAUUAACGUGGACCCCGACUUAAACAAGUUGAAAAACAUAUUGGGGUGUUACCAAUUAGUGGUCAAUUGUACGGAAUAUGUACUGAACUGUGCAAUCUACUAAUAAAAGUAUCAAUCAAUCAAUCUGUCUCAAGAAAGCUCAUCUGCAUGCUCGUGGUCCUCAUCGGGGUCUCGACCUAACUGCAGUUUGUCUUCUUAACCAACUUGAGUGGGCAAAUGCUCACACUCAAUGGCGUCUGGCACAAUACAGAGGUUUUGGUAUGUUAUUAUUGACAGCGAAACCACGUGCAUUUUAUUGAUGGCAUUUUCCAUGCGCAGAGAUACCGUCACGAGACCCUGAGCCCCAUUGUUGUACUAAUCACCCGAGGCCAUCACCUUUAUAAAUAACAUUUACUAACUCAUGUUGCAAGGAUCUGGAAGCUAAAAACAUCCCAGUUCUUGCAUGACCAGCAUACUCACCGGACAUGUCACCCAGUAAGUAAUUUUUGAGAGGAAUAUAUAUUUUCUGUAUAGUAAAAGUUUCAGAUCUUUAAGUUCAAUUCAUGAUAAAUGGGAGCAAAAACAAAAGUGUUGCGUUUAUAUAUUUGUUCAAUACCAUAUUUUUCGGAGUAUAAGUCGCACCUGCCGAAAAUGCAUAAUAAAGAAGGAAAAAAAAACAUACAAGUCGCACUGGAGUAUAAGUCGCAUUUUUGGGGGGAAA